GGUUACUUUGCCCAGCACAAAGGACGACGCGAAUACCAACAGACUGGACGAGUCGGUGACUACAGUUUGCAUUAAGAGGCGGCGCCUUUUGGGUUUCGGAGGGUUCCACUGGAACCCACGAGGGUCAGGAACACCGACGCGCGGAUUCCGCCCACCAGACAGCCUGGGGAAGCGAGCCUGAAGGCGCGGCGCAGCUAGAGAGAAGAACCUCGGCAGACAUGCCGCCCAGA
RNAcentral lists this long non-coding RNA (230 nucleotides) under Homo sapiens (human). RNAcentral describes it as "HSALNT0368998". The record is from RNAcentral. Lineage: Eukaryota; Metazoa; Chordata; Mammalia; Primates; Hominidae.